AUUAUUUGGUCAUGAAUUUGGGAAAGCAAUUAGCAACAAACUCAAGUUGAAGGCUUCAAAUGAUCAGAAGAAAGUUAAUGCACUCACUUACCUUCUAGUUGUAUCUUGUAUUUUUUUUUGUUAUAAUGUAUAAGUACAUAUAAUGAAAUAAAAAAAUUGCUUUGUAAUAUGUGGAAUGAAAUGAGUUGUUUUGGAUUAAC
RNAcentral lists this long non-coding RNA (200 nucleotides) under Lathyrus oleraceus (garden pea). RNAcentral describes it as "Pisum sativum (pea) long non-coding RNA (PSAT_LNC021462)". The record is from RNAcentral. Lineage: Eukaryota; Viridiplantae; Streptophyta; Magnoliopsida; Fabales; Fabaceae.